This 497-nucleotide ribosomal RNA is filed under the name uncultured bacterium. RNAcentral's name for it is "partial 16S ribosomal RNA". It matches the Rfam family "Bacterial small subunit ribosomal RNA", at positions 28 to 507 of the family's 1533-position model. The record is from RNAcentral.
GAUGAACGCUGGCGGCGUGCCUAAUACAUGCAAGUCGAGCGAACAGACGAGGAGCUUGCUCCUUCGACGUUAGCGGCGGACGGGUGAGUAACACGUAGGUAACCUACCUAUAAGACUGGGAUAACUUCGGGAAACCGGAGCUAAUACCGGAUAAUAUUUCGAACCGCAUGGUUCGAUAGUGAAAGAUGGCUUUGCUAUCACUUAUAGAUGGACCUGCGCCGUAUUAGCUAGUUGGUAAGGUAACGGCUUACCAAGGCAACGAUACGUAGCCGACCUGAGAGGGUGAUCGGCCACACGAGAACUGAGACACGGUCCAGACUCCUACGGGAGGCAGCAGUAGGGAAUCUUCCGCAAUGGGCGAAAGCCUGACGGAGCAACGCCGCGUGAGUGAUGAAGGUCUUCGGAUCGUAAAACUCUGUUAUUAGGGAAAAACAAACGUGUAAGUAACUGUGCACGUCUUGACGGUACCUAAUCAGAAAGCCACGGCUAACUACGUG